This 561-nucleotide ribosomal RNA is filed under the name uncultured bacterium. RNAcentral describes it as "bacterial SSU rRNA". It matches the Rfam family "Bacterial small subunit ribosomal RNA", at positions 338 to 916 of the family's 1533-position model. The record is from RNAcentral.
CCUACGGGAGGCAGCAGUGGGGAAUAUUGGACAAUGGGCGAAAGCCUGAUCCAGCAAUGCCGCGUGAGUGAUGAAGGCCUUAGGGUUGUAAAGCUCUUUUACCAGGGAUGAUAAUGACAGUACCUGGAGAAUAAGCUCCGGCUAACUCCGUGCCAGCAGCCGCGGUAAUACGGAGGGAGCUAGCGUUGUUCGGAAUUACUGGGCGUAAAGAGUACGUAGGCGGUUAUUCAAGUCAGAGGUGAAAGCCCGGGGCUCAACCCCGGAACUGCCUUUGAAACUAGAUAGCUAGAGUCUUGGAGAGGUUAGUGGAAUUCCGAGUGUAGAGGUGAAAUUCGUAGAUAUUCGGAAGAACACCAGUGGCGAAGGCGACUAACUGGACAAGUACUGACGCUGAGGUACGAAAGCGUGGGGAGCAAACAGGAUUAGAUACCCUGGUAGUCCACGCCGUAAACGAUGAUAACUAGUUGUUCGGGCACUUGGUGCCUGAGUGACGCAGCUAACGCAUUAAGUUAUCCGCCUGGGGAGUACGGUCGCAAGAUUAAAACUCAAAUGAAUUGACGG